Molecule: ribosomal RNA, 592 nt
Filed under: Hyphodiscus sp. TNSF13588
Lineage: Eukaryota; Fungi; Ascomycota; Leotiomycetes; Helotiales; Hyphodiscaceae
Also listed under: 1 other name
Description: eukaryotic LSU rRNA
Rfam family: Eukaryotic large subunit ribosomal RNA
Source: RNAcentral
GCGGAGGAAAAGAAACCAACAGGGAUUGCCUCAGUAACGGCGAGUGAAGCGGCAACAGCUCAAAUUUGAAAUCUGGCUCUUUUAGAGUCCGAGUUGUAAUUUGUAGAAGAUGCUUUGGGAAUGGUUCCGGUCUAAGUUCCUUGGAACAGGACGUCAUAGAGGGUGAGAAUCCCGUAUGCGACUGGUCGCCUGCCCCGUGUAAAGCUCUUUCGACGAGUCGAGUUGUUUGGGAAUGCAGCUCAAAAUGGGUGGUAAAUUUCAUCUAAAGCUAAAUAUUGGCCAGAGACCGAUAGCGCACAAGUAGAGUGAUCGAAAGAUGAAAAGCACUUUGGAAAGAGAGUUAAACAGUACGUGAAAUUGUUGAAAGGGAAGCGCUUGCAACCAGACUUGCACGUAGUUAAUCAUCUGGUGUUCUCACCGGUGCACUUGACUAUGUUCAGGCCAGCAUCGGUUCAGGUGGUGGGAUAAAGGCCUUGGGAAUGUAGCUUCUUUCGGGGAGUGUUAUAGCCCUCGGUGCAAUGCCGCCUACCUGGACCGAGGACCGCGCUUCGGCUAGGAUGCUGGCGUAAUGGUUGUAAGCGACCCGUCUUGA